CACUAGUUGCCGUUUGUUUGGUAUUCCUUGUUUCUCUCUUUGGCUUAGUUGGUUUUCCCAACCGGCAGACAUGGUCACUCCAGAUCUGGAAACCCAGGAGCAGAAAAAUCGAACAGACGGAAACUAGAUACAAGCCAAUAAAGAUUUAUUUACAGAGAAAGUCAAGGCAAGUAAUCAGGAAGGACAACUAAGUGGAAGUGGGAAUCAAACUGGGGCUAACCAAACCUAAUUCAAAAAAUGGGUAAAUGUAUGAAAAUCGCGUAAUGCCGCUUAGUCUGUCGGGACAGAGUGGAGCCGGAGAUGUACAGCAGCGACUUGAGGAAGGCAGGCAGGAGACAGGUCGGGGACUGGCAGGGAAAACAUAUUAUGAGUGUCUAUGGACUGGCUAAAAGUGAAGUCGGGCUUUUAUGGAAUGAGGUGAUUGUGAACAGGUAAGCUGAUCCCUGCAUUAGUCACUCACUACCAGAGUGAUGGGGAGAGGGUGAGCAAAGCAGACCAAGAGGGAAAGAGAAAGGAAGGAGAGAGGGAGAGGGAGAAGGAGAGGGAAAGGGAGAGAGGGGACCAGGCAGGGGCUGGGGUUCCUGACAGACACAUGUCAAUAAACAUGACACUAGACCUCUUUGAGUCACUGGAAAAACAGUCCAAUACCUCCAGUGACAAAACACAGGUGGUAUCAUCCUCUCUUCUCUCACCCUCUUGUUUAUUCUCUUCUCUGACCAUUGUCUCGCUUUCUCUUAUAUUCAUUCAUCCUUCUUCUCAGUUUUCAUCUCCCAAUUCUCCUUCUUCUGCCACUCUUCACAGGCACCUCUACCUUCUCUCCGUUGCCGUGGGGAUAGAGAGGAUCAUGGCUGACUGACAGCAUCUUAAGCCAAUUGGAUUCACCCACAGUCACAGAGCUGAACACUUAUUGGCCAGUCCCAGGGGAGCUGGAAUGUAUUGAUGUGUGUAUUAGCGUGUAUGUGUGUAUUCAUAUGUGUGUGUGUGUGUGUGUGUGUGUGUGUGUGUGUGUGUGUGUGUUUAAUAGCGUGAUGGAUGAUCUCUUCUCUAACAGCCGGGGAGAGGAAAGAAAGGAUCAUUUACUUUCAGCCUCUCUCUCUCCUCUCUUUUUUAAUUCUGGAUCUUUUCCUCAUCUGCCAGUAUCUCUCGCUUCCCCCUCUCUCUCUGCAACACCCUUUCACUGUGGAGAGCAGAAGAAGAAAGAUGUUUGUUCUUGGAGAUACUUGAGGAAAACAAGAAAAUAGCUGCUGCUGGAUGUUAACAUGCAGCGCUGCAUGCCUUAAAUAACACACACGCUACAUGGUAGUGCAGCGAUGCCAGGAAUACCUACUGUCUAUCUGCUGGUGCAUAGUGCACGGGACAUGAUGGAUACUGCUUUGACUGAUGGAAACUGACACCAGUGACAGUGAAGGAGAAUAAUAAUGAUGGAAGACAGAAUGAUUUGUUCCCAGCCAGAGCCACAACUGCCAUCCUGCUUUGCAGCAUUACUCGCUAAAGGUUCCGCUGGCCGCGCUGCCCGGUUCUGCCCGACCGCUUGCCGGACCCUCUGGCCCUCCAGCCUGCUUGGUUCUGCCCAGCCACUUCCCGGUCCCUUGGACCCACCGGUCUGCCUGGUUCUGCCCAGCCUCUCACGGGACCCUUAGACCCCCAUCCCUUCCCUGCCAGGUCAGGUCGUGAAGGUAACAGACGAAGCAGGCCGUUCCAGACAUACCUCCACCCUGGCAACGCUUUCCAGCUCUUCCUGAGGGAUCCCGAGGCGAUCCCAGUCCACCUGUCCAUCUCGCGCUCCACUUUCUGCAAUCAUUUUCUGUGAUCAAACUGGUGUGGUGGUGGUGGUGAUGGAUUUCGCACAGCUACUACAGCACUGCUGGGCCUCGUUUCCCAUCUAUCACCCUCCUGAAGGUGCAACUGACAUCAACACCUUCUCUUAUUUGGAGGCCAAUGAUUCAGCGUCUUUGAGCUUUUGGAAAAGCGCUUUAUAAAUAAAAUUUAUUAUUAUUAUUAUUAUUAUUUCCUGUUCCUGACACAUAGGUUUUCAUUUGCAUUGUUGAUGGAUUUGCAUCUGCUCACUGUGUGCUGAGAAACAACAAAGUUUAACACUGUAUUUACUUUACAGAUUUCUCAGAUGUGCGACUAUUAUUCCUUUUCCCUCAGUAGGGUUCUAUGUGAUACUGAUACUACAAAAGCAUUGCCAUAUUCUGCCACAAAAAGACAAUACUAUUCCCCAUCUUAAAAGCACCAAUCAAGAGAGACAGUGUGUCUCCUGUGAAUUAUGUUGAAGUGCCACAGGUGUUGGUGUCUGUGUGCAGCACUUGUCUUUCACUCCCAGCAGGUAAAGUGGACGUUUCAACCACUUUUUUCUCCUCUAAUAUGCACACAGCAUCUUUCAUGGUGACUAGGAAUGAGUACCAAGCCCCAGAGCCACAGUUCUGCUAACAGUACUGACAGAACAGCAAACAAAAUACAGACAAAAACACAGUUUGAGAAGACAGCUUACCCAAAACUUCCAUCCAAAAUGGAACAUGUGCAUAUCAAUGUUUACUAAGGAAUGAUCACUUAUAGUCCUGUUGGAGAGAACAGCAUGUCUCCUACCUUCCAAAAGAGUAAAUAACAGUCACAGAUUGUCAAUUGUGAGGAUAACCACACCUCUGGACAAGAGAAGGUUGCAUUCUUCAUGGUGACCUCCUGACCUUCUUCUCAUCCUAACACCCAGAACUUUCUACAGAAGAAUGAACUAAUUAGUUCCAAAACAUGAAAUUAAGGAACUCUGGAGAGAUUUUUUCUUUUUUAUUUUCUUUUUUGCAAAUGGUGAUUGGCUGCAAUGUCUGCAUGUCAUCUUACCUGUCUGAGGCAAAUAUUACAUUAAAAAAUAUAUAAAAAAUAAAAAUAAAAAAACUGAGUAAUUACAGAACAAUCAGCAGUAUUUGACUAAAGUUGUGAUCUUAUGAAAAUAACUGGAUAAUUAAUAAUAUAGUCAUGACGCACAGACAGAGUCCAGCAAAGAAAGCUGCAAAUCCAACACGUGACACACAUUACAAGGAUAUGUUUUAUUUAAGUCUUACUUACAAUAGUGAGUUAUCUUAUUCAAAGCGGAUAUUCCAAACAACAGGUCUUAUAAGCUGGUGGCCGAAAGUAAUCACAGGCUUCGAGCGAAUAGAAACUUUCACAAGUAUGAAUAUAAAAAAUAUAAGCUGACAUGCAAAGAUUAACUUAGUUUAUUCAAGGUUUAUGUCAUCUUAAUUUGUCAUCAUUACCUUGAAAAUGAACUGCUGAGAGCUGUAAUUUAAUGGAUUAUUGUAUUGCAGUAACUUGUGUUCCUCUGAAAAACUAUGUAUUGACUUAGCAGUAACACUACACUCAAAAGCCAGUUCUUGGUUAUAUAAUUCAUAGAUAUAAUCAGAAAUUUCUCAGCUAAUUCUUCAUGAUGUGUCACCACUGGUCAGACAAAAUAACAGAAAAAAAAUUAAUCUGAAAGAAACCCUGAAUUAUUAAUCAAAUGAAAGUUUAAGAGAAGGCGUUCUUGUCAAGUAUUCAGUCUGUCUGCACUUUCUGUUUAAUUCCCAGCUCUGGUUUUAAUUUUGCAACACUACAGGACCAGUUAACAUAACCAUGUUAAAACACUAGUGACAACGCCUGCUGGGAGCUUGGGACCGGAGGAAAGUCUCCUAGCAGCAGCAGAAUUAAUAUGAAUGAAAGCUCAAGAAUGUGGAGCAGUUGUGACUUUCAGCACAUCUCCCCAACGUGUACUUAAACCCGUUUACACAUUCAGAUUCAUUGAUUUCUCUGAAUUCAAUGUCUUCUCUUCACACAGACAUUGUGAAGAGAGGUCUUUGUUAUACAGAUACUAUAUAUCCAUUCAGCUCUUUGGAUAUAUAAUAUUCACAUCAGUGAGUGCGCAAGGAUCUGCCUGACAUAAAUUUCCUCAUCUUCUCAAGUCCUCAGUCUUUGAAUAGAAGCUGCAUUAGAAAAGAUAAGAUAUUGGUUAUGGUAUUGAAAAAAACAGCACUGACUGCUGUUAGACAUGGGAUGUGAACACUGCUUUCCAAUAUGUAGUCCACAAAAGCCUAUGCCAAGCCACUUUCGCAGUGCUAUGUUAAUGUUACACUACUUCCCACAGUCAUACCUAAGACCACAAGACAUCUUUGUCUGAAAAUGGUCAAUGCUAUUUUUCUGAUGAAGACAAUCUCACAACACAUAAUUAAAGAGCCCCAUAUUCAAGGGGAUUAUGAUUUUGCAUCGGGGGCUGGUUCCGGGGUUCAGAUUCCAAAGGAAUCAUUAGGAAUUUCAAUUUUAAAUCUAAAUCUAAUUUUAACUGUACACUGUUUGAGAAUUAGCUACAGAGAACACCUUAAUCCUUAAUCCAAUGGAACAGUAGUAUCGAAUGCUCAACAAACUGAUGAUGAAGAGAAAACAAUGAUUUUUUUACACAGUAGCAACAAAAGCAGAAUACUAAAAACUCAAAUAACUGCAUUGUGCCCACUACCUUUGUGCAGCUGUUGUACUAUGUUGAAUUCCACAUGAAUAAAAUUAAAAAGCAAAAACACCCACGUUAAACCAAAAAAACUUUUUAGAAUAUUAUGAACAUUUAAAUGUGUAUUUACGUCAUUAGUAUACGAUUUAAUCCUGAGGAAGUAUUUCUUUUUACUUUUUUGCCUCCAUCUGCUUCCUUAAGUUAAGCCAUCACUGACCUAGGUCUUUUUAAAUCACAGCUCAAAACCUUCCUGUUUAAAAUGGCUUUUCAUACCUAGCGGCAUGGGGACAUUUUACUACUUUUAUUUCUUUUGGAUGUAUAUUUUAGUGCUGUUUUAUUGCUGUGUAUUUUAUUGUUUUUUUGUAUAUUUUAUGGGCUGCACAGUGGCGUGGUAGUUAGCACUUUCACCUUGCAGCUAGAAGAUCCCUGGUCCACAUCCCAGCCUUCCAGGGAUCUUUCUGCAUGGAGUUUGCAUGUUCUUCCUGUGCAUGUGUGGGUUUUCUCUGGGUACUCUGGUUUCCUCCCACAGUCCAAAAAUGUGCUGAGGUUAACUGAUUAUUCUAAAUUUGCUCGUAGGUAUGAGUGCUAUUGCCAUUGCUUGUCCUGUUUUAAGUUACUGUAUUGUUUUAAGUUAUUAUCUUGUUUUUCACUGUGAAGCACUUUGGUCACCCUUUGGGCUGUUGUAAAGUGCUAUAGAAAUAAACUUUGCUUAAGUGUAUCGUUUCCUCUGGGGUUAACAUACAGUCUUUAUCGUGCCUUCAAUAUGUUAAAUGACUAAUGGGAUGAGGGAUGUGCUACCUCUAAAUGGGCAGACAAGGAAAUAUUACAUGUGAAGGUAAUUUCCAGCUUGCUCAGGAAAGAGAACAGUGUGAGCAGCAGACAGUCAGCUCCAAUGUUUGUACGAGGAAGAGGAAAGAGAUGAAUCCUCAAAAGAGGCCCUCCACUUUGGUUGGACAGUGCCAACAUGUUCCAUUUCCCAGCAUGCAUCACAGAAGAGAGGAGGGAAGCAGAGCGUUAUUAUUAUCAAUAAAUUCAUCUAAUUAUUUUUAUUAUUAUAAGUGAGUAAUGCUGCUCAGUUCUGUGAAUGUAGUGAAACAGUACACUGCAUGCACAGCAUUGAUAGUAUUUACUAUUAAACUGUACGUCAUAUUUUGCAGCUUUGUGAAUCACUGUCAUCAGUUACUGUUUUUGCUGAAAGAGAAGGUAAAUGAAUAAGAGAAUAAUGUAAGAUGAAGAGACUAACCCUCGGUACCCUAGAAAAUGCUGGUGGCCAAGUCUUCUUUGAAAACAAAACAAAAAAAAACCACAAAAACCACACGUCAUCUAUCAUAGACAAAAUCUGUGAAAACAGAAACAAUCCUCAGAUUUUCCAACCAUCUUUGAACUAAUCAUGUGUGAUGUACACUUCUGUCUGGGAUAUUAAUCAAAUCUAAGCUUAUAAUUGUGAUAUUUUACUUCUCGUUCAAAAAUUUGACACCAAAUACUGAAAAAAAAAACAAAAUUGCGUGCUCCUCAGCACAACUGAGAAGCCAUGAUUGACUCAGCUGUGACCAACAGACAAGACAACAAGAGAUACUGUGAGGAAAACAAAAAAUAUAAAUAAAUACAAUAAACGCAGCAUGGCUGAAAUGUGGUAUAUAGUGAAGCAAGUUGUUGGUAGGUACAUAUAGCAUGGUGAGAUCUUUUUGGAGUUGAAAAACACAGUCUGUUAUACGUAGCUAAAUAUGUACAGCAUGUUUUUUCAGUACUGGUAACACCUGUAGGCAUUUGGAAAAAUGUUCAUGUUGAUUGCAGGUUUGUUCUAUUUUCGUAACAUAAAUUAAAUUCCGAGAUGGGGUACCAGGGACCAACAACCACAAACCCAUAUAAUCUCAACACCAGGGCAGCUCACCUGAGACCAAAGAGCAUAACUAAGCUAAAUACUUGUAACUAUCAUUUGCCAAGACUAACUGAAAAGUACCUACUGAAACUCUUCCAGAAGAUGUGUUUGCAGCUCGACUAAAUAUUCCCACUGUGACCAUCACUGAGACAAUAGGCUGAUAUAUGCAACAGUAACAAGGCCAAAAGAUGAAUAGAAUAGAAUAGAAUAGAAUAGAAUAGAAUAGAAUAGAAUAGAAUAGAAUAGAAUAGAAUAGAAUAGAAU
Amphiprion ocellaris (clown anemonefish) is the source of this 6611-nucleotide RNA transcript. It is a transcript of the gene named leucine rich repeat neuronal 3a, with no coding region annotated. Lineage: Eukaryota; Metazoa; Chordata; Actinopteri; Pomacentridae. The record is from RefSeq and is a predicted model, not a curated record. The transcript is spliced from 4 exons.